UAGGUCGUCCGGCUAAAGGAGGAACUCGAGCCCUUGUUUAAAGGCAAGCCAAUCAUUUGCUGCAGAUGCAUCUUAAAUUGUGUUGAAAUGUUGAUGAAAUGUAAUGUUUCAAAAUUGAAAUGUCCCAAAAUGCAGCAACCAGGUGGGAAGUUGCAUGCGUUUUUUUUUGUUUCCACGAUAAUAGCAGUAUUAACUUGAUGUAUUGUUUCAGCAGUUUACCUGGAAGCCAUUAUUUCUUAGAAUGGGUGGAAUUGGAAAGUUAAUAUAAGCCAAAAAAAUCAUGCAUCCCGGGAGUGUGGCGGUGGGAAUCCGAUUUUGCGGCGGAGAAUCCGAAAACACAAGAUAUAAUGGGCUCCAAUAAUGAUUAUGCUGAAAGUGCAGCAAGAACAAAUCUCACAUGAUGUUGUUCAGAUCUCUCAUAGAUCAGAAUUCGAUAAAUUUAGAAUGAUCUGAGAAUGAGAUGAACCAAUAUUUUUAUUCAAUUGUGAAUGUGCACGAAAUUCAUUCAGAUGUGAAUCUUGCUCUGGCUGAAUGCAUUGCAUAUGGACUGUUUGUAGUGAACACUGCUGGAUUUUUGUGAAUAAAGUGGAUAAGAGCAGCAUAAUCCACUUCUGCAUUCUGAGACAACUAGGGCGAGAUAAUGCUACUUGGCAAACAAUGCAUAAAAGAUAGAACGCUCGUAAUAUUGAUAGCUACCCCAUAAAAGUUGUUAUAAAUUAGCAUGGGGGUUGCCAUAAACCAGAUUGUCUUAUUCUCUUUCGACAAAAGCUCUGGGGUUACUUGCUCUGUUAGUAACUCACGCAACCAUGAAAUUGCUCUACCCUUUUUUUUGUGCACACAGCUAGUCACUCUUUUUUUCAUUUUCUUUAUUUUGGACCAAAUGACGCCCAUUUUAUUAGCUUGAUCUUCACCAAAACCCUCCGAAAUAUUCUCAUCAUCUUUGUUGGUAAUUAUUAAUUGCUACCCCAGACAUGUGCAAAUAGAAGCUUCCAGAUUUGAAUUCUAGAUGUUUCCUAGCUAUUUAAUUCUGUCUUAUCUUCAUCACAUUGACUAUAAAUAAGAUAUAAUAUGAAUUGUUAUUCGCUCUUCUGAGAAGUAGAUAUAAUAUAAUUUCUGAGUUUGUUUUUGUUUC
Cryptomeria japonica (Japanese cedar) is the source of this 1132-nucleotide long non-coding RNA. RefSeq lists it as uncharacterized. NCBI's taxonomy places the organism in Eukaryota, Viridiplantae, Streptophyta, Pinopsida, Cupressales, Cupressaceae. The transcript is spliced from 2 exons. The record is from RefSeq and is a predicted model, not a curated record.